ACACUCCUGCGGGAGGCAGCAGUGGGGAAUAUUGCACAAUGGGCGCAAGCCUGAUGCAGCCAUGCCGCGUGUAUGAAGAAGGCCUUCGGGUUGUAAAGUACUUUCAGCGGGGAGGAAGGCAAUACGGUUAAUAACCGUGUUGAUUGACGUUACCCGCAGAAGAAGCACCGGCUAACUCCGUGCCAGCAGCCGCGGUAAUACGGAGGGUGCAAGCGUUAAUCGGAAUUACUGGGCGUAAAGCGCACGCAGGCGGUCUGUCAAGUCGGAUGUGAAAUCCCCGGGCUCAACCUGGGAACUGCAUUCGAAACUGGCAGGCUUGAGUCUUGUAGAGGGGGGUAGAAUUCCAGGUGUAGCGGUGAAAUGCGUAGAGAUCUGGAGGAAUACCGGUGGCGAAGGCGGCCCCCUGGACAAAGACUGACGCUCAGGUGCGAAAGCGUGGGGAGUAAACAGGAUUAGAAACCCCAGUAGUCCC
RNAcentral lists this ribosomal RNA (472 nucleotides) under uncultured organism. Its description in RNAcentral is "partial 16S ribosomal RNA". It matches the Rfam family "Bacterial small subunit ribosomal RNA", at positions 333 to 797 of the family's 1533-position model. The record is from RNAcentral.